This 1516-nucleotide ribosomal RNA is filed under the name Staphylococcus aureus. Its description in RNAcentral is "partial 16S ribosomal RNA". It matches the Rfam family "Bacterial small subunit ribosomal RNA". Lineage: Bacteria; Bacillati; Bacillota; Bacilli; Caryophanales; Staphylococcaceae. The record is from RNAcentral.
UGAGUUUGAUCCUGGCUCAGGAUGAACGCUGGCGGCGUGCCUAAUACAUGCAAGUCGAGCGAACGGACGAGAAGCUUGCUUCUCUGAUGUUAGCGGCGGACGGGUGAGUAACACGUGGAUAACCUACCUAUAAGACUGGGAUAACUUCGGGAAACCGGAGCUAAUACCGGAUAAUAUUUUGAACCGCAUGGUUCAAAAGUGAAAGACGGUCUUGCUGUCACUUAUAGAUGGAUCCGCGCUGCAUUAGCUAGUUGGUAAGGUAACGGCUUACCAAGGCAACGAUGCAUAGCCGACCUGAGAGGGUGAUCGGCCACACUGGAACUGAGACACGGUCCAGACUCCUACGGGAGGCAGCAGUAGGGAAUCUUCCGCAAUGGGCGAAAGCCUGACGGAGCAACGCCGCGUGAGUGAUGAAGGUCUUCGGAUCGUAAAACUCUGUUAUUAGGGAAGAACAUAUGUGUAAGUAACUGUGCACAUCUUGACGGUACCUAAUCAGAAAGCCACGGCUAACUACGUGCCAGCAGCCGCGGUAAUACGUAGGUGGCAAGCGUUAUCCGGAAUUAUUGGGCGUAAAGCGCGCGUAGGCGGUUUUUUAAGUCUGAUGUGAAAGCCCACGGCUCAACCGUGGAGGGUCAUUGGAAACUGGAAAACUUGAGUGCAGAAGAGGAAAGUGGAAUUCCAUGUGUAGCGGUGAAAUGCGCAGAGAUAUGGAGGAACACCAGUGGCGAAGGCGACUUUCUGGUCUGUAACUGACGCUGAUGUGCGAAAGCGUGGGGAUCAAACAGGAUUAGAUACCCUGGUAGUCCACGCCGUAAACGAUGAGUGCUAAGUGUUAGGGGGUUUCCGCCCCUUAGUGCUGCAGCUAACGCAUUAAGCACUCCGCCUGGGGAGUACGACCGCAAGGUUGAAACUCAAAGGAAUUGACGGGGACCCGCACAAGCGGUGGAGCAUGUGGUUUAAUUCGAAGCAACGCGAAGAACCUUACCAAAUCUUGACAUCCUUUGACAACUCUAGAGAUAGAGCCUUCCCCUUCGGGGGACAAAGUGACAGGUGGUGCAUGGUUGUCGUCAGCUCGUGUCGUGAGAUGUUGGGUUAAGUCCCGCAACGAGCGCAACCCUUAAGCUUAGUUGCCAUCAUUAAGUUGGGCACUCUAAGUUGACUGCCGGUGACAAACCGGAGGAAGGUGGGGAUGACGUCAAAUCAUCAUGCCCCUUAUGAUUUGGGCUACACACGUGCUACAAUGGACAAUACAAAGGGCAGCGAAACCGCGAGGUCAAGCAAAUCCCAUAAAGUUGUUCUCAGUUCGGAUUGUAGUCUGCAACUCGACUACAUGAAGCUGGAAUCGCUAGUAAUCGUAGAUCAGCAUGCUACGGUGAAUACGUUCCCGGGUCUUGUACACACCGCCCGUCACACCACGAGAGUUUGUAACACCCGAAGCCGGUGGAGUAACCUUUUAGGAGCUAGCCGUCGAAGGUGGGACAAAUGAUUGGGGUGAAGUCGUAACAAGGUAGCCGUA